UGCUUGGAGAGAAGUUGUUAGACUCCAUCAGAAGCUUUUCAGGUCACAAAGCUGCAAAGAAAACAGAGGAGACCUUUACUUGCAGGAUGAAGGAGGGAUGAGAUGGCUGAAGUGGAAGCAGAGUCAGAUUAUUCUGGUACUGCGUGGGCCAAAUAUGCACUUCAUGCAGGUAAAAGAAUCACUUGAGACUACUUCAGACUAUAUUUUGAUAGUCCCAGGGAGAGGCUUUGUUAUUGAACCUUA
Molecule: long non-coding RNA, 243 nt
Organism: Cygnus olor (mute swan)
Lineage: Eukaryota; Metazoa; Chordata; Aves; Anseriformes; Anatidae
Exons: 3
Source: RefSeq, a predicted model, not a curated record